Lonchura striata (white-rumped munia) is the source of this 1839-nucleotide non-coding RNA. The record is from RefSeq and is a predicted model, not a curated record. NCBI's taxonomy places the organism in Eukaryota, Metazoa, Chordata, Aves, Passeriformes, Estrildidae.
CUGCCUGACCUUUUCCAUCGGAGGAGCAGCUGGAACGCAAGACAGUGGCUGGGGUCAGAGUAGACAGGAAUGCUGUACUGAUUGCUUGGCUAUGGGGAUAGAAUAGGUAAAUCUAGGUAUUCCCACUGACCUGUACAUUAAGCACAGCCGAUUCCAACGUGGAACACCGGAGAGUCCCAGGAGGCGGGGUCCGGGUGACAUCGGGGGCAGGGCCGACGGCAUCAAGGCUGAGCGCGGGCAGCUGCGGGGCUUCAGAGGCAGGCCCCGGGCCCGACACAGGUGUGUGGGGCGGGGCCGAGGUGAUUUAAUCCCCGAAAAUUGCCUGUAGAUCAUUUGUUUACUAUGAGUGCGGUGAGAGUAGGAGGAGCUCCCGGUCCAGGCUUCCCCGCCCCGCAGCUGCCCGCGCUCAGCCUUGAUGCCGUCGGCCCUGCCCCCGAUGUCACCCGGACCCCGCCUCCUGGGACUCUCCGGUGUUCCACGUUGGAAUCGGCUGUGCUUAAUGUACAGCCACUGUCUUGCGUUCCAGCUGCUCCUCCGAUGGAAAAGGUCAGGCAGGAAUGUCAGGAAGCAUAUUUAAUAGAGAAGGAAUUGAUCUGCAUUCAAGUGCUGCCCUAAUGUUCCUCAGGACUGGGACCGGAACUGCUGAACGCUACUGGCAGUGAGGCUUCUUCCCAGCCGGGUGAUCCUGUAUCCCAGGCUCCGCAGUGUGGCUGGACGCAGGCCUGACACGCAGGUAAGGCUAGGGCUCAAAAACUGUUGGCGGUGAGGCAGAAGUUUCUUUUGGCAAGUGGUGUCAUCUUGCUUGGAUGCUGGGGAGCGGGGCUGGGGCAGAGCUGCGGGUCAGUGGAACCAGCCCUGCUCCAGCAGUGCUGUCAUCCUGUCACUGCACUGGGGCAAGCACAAAUCUGUCACCUUUAAUCUGCUAGAAAUCAGAUGCAACUCAGACAUUAUAGAUUAGGCAUGCAACAUGUCAUAGGUAAAAUGGAUUAGACAGCAGUGUAUAUUAAAUAAAUCCUUGUACGUAAAAAAGAAACCACAGAAACAAUUACUAAGGAACAAGUCUGCAGUCUCAGGUCUAGAGCUGGUGGGGUUUGUCUUAUACAGCAGCAGCCAAGUUCACAUGUGCAGUAGGAAGAAGUAAAAUCCUGUUAGCGUUUACGCUCAAACCGGGUCUGCCUUCCCAGUGGUGCAGAAAGUGCCUUCAGAGUCGGUGCUGUUAGAAAUUAGCAACCCCGGUGUUAAUUAGGUUCAUCAGCAAGUGCACACAAACAGGAGCUGGAACAGAGCUGUGUUCCAGAGUACCAGAUUUCAUUCGGAAUGCAUCCAUUGCAAAAACAGGAAUGCGGAAAGGAUGGAAAAUCAAUCGCUGUACAGAGAGAAUGCCAGGGUUCAGCAUGUUCUCCUAAAAGGCUAAAUGCCAGCCUCAGCCCAGAUGCUUUGUAGCACAUGUACAGCUUGGCAGUAAUGAGGCAGCUUCAGUAGAACGGACAUCUGGACAUGCUGCAUCAGGGCUGUGCUGUGCCUUGGACACUCUUCUAGUACUUACACAAAAAUGCAACAUCCAGCUCUCACUUCUGGAUACAGAACAACAGUGAUGUGCUUAAUGAAGAGCUGCUUUCGAGAGACAGCCUGUGGAGAGAAAGCUUCACACAGAGCUUUCUCCUCCUCUCCUAAUAGUUUAGGAACACAAGGCUCAAUGUGCUUUGAAAAAAAAAAAAAGUCUGGUAUGAAAUUAAGAAAAAUGCUCAUUUUUCCAAGUAUAUGAUAUUUAAUUGUAAUGAAAUAAAAUCUGAAAAUGUCUAAAUCAAUUAAGAAGUAAACAUGAGUUGUAAUACUAUA